RNAcentral lists this ribosomal RNA (468 nucleotides) under uncultured bacterium. RNAcentral's name for it is "partial 16S ribosomal RNA". It matches the Rfam family "Bacterial small subunit ribosomal RNA", at positions 28 to 508 of the family's 1533-position model. The record is from RNAcentral.
GACGAACGCUGGCGGCGUGCUUAACACAUGCAAGUCGAACGGAAAGGCUCCAGCUUGCUGGAGUACUCGAGUGGCGAACGGGUGAGUAACACGUGGGUAAUCUGCCCUGCACUCUGGGAUAAGCCUGGGAAACUGGGUCUAAUACUGGAUAUGACCUUUCUCCUUAUGGGGUUUGGUGGAAAGUUUUUCGGUGUAGGAUGAGCCCGCGGCCUAUCAGCUUGUUGGUGGGGUGAUGGCCUACCAAGGCGACGACGGGUAGCCGGCCUGAGAGGGUGAUCGGCCACAUUGGGACUGAGAGACGGCCCAGACUCCUACGGGAGGCAGCAGUGGGGAAUAUUGCACAAUGGGCGGAAGCCUGAUGCAGCGACGCCGCGUGAGGGAUGACGGCCUUCGGGUUGUAAACCUCUUUCAGCAGGGACGAAGCGUAAGUGACGGUACCUGCAGAAGAAGCACCGGCUAACUACGUGC